This 420-nucleotide ribosomal RNA is filed under the name bacterium. RNAcentral's name for it is "partial 16S ribosomal RNA". It matches the Rfam family "Bacterial small subunit ribosomal RNA", at positions 355 to 776 of the family's 1533-position model. The record is from RNAcentral.
UGGGGGAUAUUGCACAAUGGGCGAAAGCCUGAUGCAGCGACGCCGCGUGGGGGAUGAAGGCUUUCGGGUUGUAAACCUCUUUCGCUAUCGAACAAGGCCCGCUUAGGGUGGGUUGAGGGUAGGUGGAGAAGAAGCGCCGGCUAACUACGUGCCAGCAGCCGCGGUAAUACGUAGGGCGCGAGCGUUGUCCGGAAUUAUUGGGCGUAAAGGGCUUGUAGGCGGCUUGUUGCGCCUGCUGUGAAAACGCGGGGCUUAACUUCGCGCGUGCAGUGGGUACGGGCAGGCUUGAGUGUGGUAGGGGUGACUGGAAUUCCAGGUGUAGCGGUGGAAUGCGCAGAUAUCUGGAGGAACACCGAUGGCGAAGGCAGGUAACUGGGCCAUUACUGACGCUGAGGAGCGAAAGCAUGGGUAGCGAAGAGG